CCAGUAUCACAGGAGAGAAUGUAAAAUUCUGUCGUCUAAGAUACAGAGAUCCAACUUUCUUUUGGAGAUAUUUUAAAAAGAAGCAAAACGCUGAAGACGCAGCCGAAGCCCCCAUCCCUCCACGAAUCUGCUUUCCUCCACACCCAUCUUCUGAAAAGGGAGCAUCUACUCAGAGUUUGAUAUACAUCAUUCUCAUUCAUGGCUUGUCAG
RNAcentral lists this long non-coding RNA (210 nucleotides) under Mustela putorius furo (domestic ferret). RNAcentral describes it as "lncRNA (ENSMPUG00000024390.1)". Lineage: Eukaryota; Metazoa; Chordata; Mammalia; Carnivora; Mustelidae. The record is from RNAcentral.